This 1690-nucleotide long non-coding RNA is filed under the name Manihot esculenta (cassava). RNAcentral's name for it is "long non-coding RNA (MESC_LNC000944)". Lineage: Eukaryota; Viridiplantae; Streptophyta; Magnoliopsida; Malpighiales; Euphorbiaceae. The record is from RNAcentral.
CCUAAUUGAUGUUUGUUUCUUGGGAAUUUGGUUUUCACAGUAGGCUUGUGUUCUGAAAGUGAAUAUACAGUGUCACUUCUUUGUGUCUAUUGAAAUGAGUUUAUAUGGUGUGUACAUGAAUGAUUAUCUUGAAUAAGUUGUAACCCUUACUCAUCCUUUUCCAUCUUUUUUGGCAUUUAUACAAAAAAUGCAAAAAAACAAAAUUAUAGUACAAGUUAUGACUAAAAAAUAAAAUGAAUGAAGACCAACUCAGGCAAAAUGUGAGUGCAUUGAGACAUCUAACAACCAUAAUGAAGAGCAAGCUAGUCUGUUAAGUUUAUAAUACUAUAAGCAAGAGAUGUGUGCUCCACUGAUUCGUGCAACCCCAAUCAGACACAGCAAGUGCCACAGACAAACACCACCACACAGCAAAUGUCUGUUCGAGUUAAAUGAUAGAAGAGGAACAUUGGUUUUUUUUUUAAGGUAAGCCAACACCCAAAAAACAAAUAAUUGGAUAAAACUUCUAUUGACGUAAUUCUUUUUCAAUUACAAUAAUUAUAGGACGUUCAUACAAAUAAAUCCCCUAAAUCAUGUAAUCACUGUUUCCUGCAAGUACCAACCCGCUUGAUUUUUUUUGUGAAAAAAUCAGUAUUAUCCAUACAAACAAAUCAAAUUGGUAAUGGCAAAGAUUAAAAGUAAACCCAGUAAACCCAUACCCAACCCAAGACAAACAAAUUGAGGGGAAAAAAAGAGAGAAAACCCAAGCAUCUGACUGAGCCGUUGAUGGUCAAGUACAAAAGAGAGAAAACACAAAUCGACGGGAAACUCACCAAAUCAGUCCACGGUCGGCGGCGAAACUCACCAAAUCGACGGGAAAGAGGUUGAUGGUCGACGGUCGGCGGUCGGAGGUCGACGAGAAAAAGAUUGACGAUCGACGUGAAAGAGAAAGAGAGGCCAGGGGGAGGAAUCGGGAUUCGAGAGAGAGAAUAGGGGUUCGGGGGGAAUCAGGUUCGGGAGAGGAGAUUGCAGAAUGUAGAGAACGGGAUGAAUGAAGGGUUCAGUGAAAUCGAUUGAUGGGGUUGGGCUGCUGCCUGGCUGGGUUGGGUUAACAUGUUUAAACCGGUUUUUCGGUUUUUCGGUUUGAUCGGUUAUUUAACAUGUUUAAACCGAACCGAACCGAAAACCGAAUAAUUUUAAAUAUAUAAACCGAACCAAACCGAUCAUACCGAUUAACCGAACCGAAAAACCGAAAUUAAUCGGUUCGGUUCGGUUUUUCGGUUUAAACCGAAAACUGCACAGGCCUAUUGAUGAGAUCCCACAGAGGGGUCAAGUUUAUGAUUAUGUUUAUGUUGAGUGCAUGCACAGGUUGAGUUUGGUGUAUGAGGAAUGAAUGAAAGAAAAGUUUUAAUUUUUAUGUAUGUUGUUGAUCAUGUAUGGGAUUAAACAGGUUUACAGGUUACAUGUCAGGCUUGCUACGGGUCCCGGCGGCUUUAAGCCGAUCUGGAUCCUAGCGCCGGUAGCGGUCCGAUUUUCGGAUCGUUACACACACUGUCAUUCUUAUUUCUAAAACAAUCUUAAAUACUUUUUGCUAAAAAUAUUUACUCAGCUCAUUUAUUAAGCUCAUUCAAUAUCGCUCAUUCUUAAAUAUGUCAGACUCAAUAUUAACACUUGUGUUUAAAUCUUAGACUCAUAUGAAUCUACUAGUUAUCAC